GACGAACGCUGGCGGCGUACUUAACACAUGCAAGUCGAACGGAAAGGCCCUGCUUUUGUGGGGUGCUCGAGUGGCGAACGGGUGAGUAACACGUGAGUAACCUGCCCUUGACUUUGGGAUAACUUCAGGAAACUGGGGCUAAUACCGGAUAGGAGCUCCUGCUGCAUGGUGGGGGUUGGAAAGUUUCGGCGGUUGGGGAUGGACUCGCGGCUUAUCAGCUUGUUGGUGGGGUAGUGGCUUACCAAGGCUUUGACGGGUAGCCGGCCCGAGAGGGUGACCGGCCACAUUGGGACUGAGAUACGGCCCAGACUCCUACGGGAGGCAGCAGUGGGGAAUAUUGCACAAUGGGCGGAAGCCUGAUGCAGCAACGCCGCGUGCGGGAUGACGGCCUUCGGGUUGUAAACCGCUUUCGCCUGUGACGAAGCGUGAGUGACGGUAAUGGGUAAAGAAGCACCGGCUAACUACGUG
This 468-nucleotide ribosomal RNA is filed under the name uncultured bacterium. RNAcentral's name for it is "partial 16S ribosomal RNA". It matches the Rfam family "Bacterial small subunit ribosomal RNA", at positions 28 to 507 of the family's 1533-position model. The record is from RNAcentral.